Non-coding RNA from Odocoileus virginianus texanus, 349 nucleotides. The record is from RefSeq and is a predicted model, not a curated record. NCBI's taxonomy places the organism in Eukaryota, Metazoa, Chordata, Mammalia, Artiodactyla, Cervidae.
UGCACACACCAGGAAAUGCUUCACAGCUAAUUUGGAAAAUGGGGAAUUUGGGAGUUAGAAACAAGAAGGGAGAACUUAGGGAAAUAUUAAAUCUUUGGCAAUUUUUUUUCUAAUUGGUUGCUGCUGUUUUAUGAAUCACCAUGGAUUUUUGUAUAUUCAUCUCCCAUCUGUGAUCUGGAACAAGAUGAACAAAUAUUUCAUAAAAUGGCCACUGACCCACUGGGCUCCUCACUGUCUUGGAGAAGCCCAACCAGGAGUCCAUUUCUGUAGCCAGUGCCAGAAGAUGGGGUCAGGCUCAUCGCUUUCACCCCAGCUAGCUGAGCUACAGAUGUUAUUCAUAUUCAUCCCA